This 472-nucleotide ribosomal RNA is filed under the name uncultured bacterium. RNAcentral describes it as "bacterial SSU rRNA". It matches the Rfam family "Bacterial small subunit ribosomal RNA", at positions 364 to 832 of the family's 1533-position model. The record is from RNAcentral.
UUCGCAAUGCCCGAAAGGGUGAACGAGCGACGCCGCGUGCGGGACGAAGGGUUUCGGCUUGUAAACCGCUUUUCUUUGGGAAGAAGGUCCGUCUCGUGCAGAUGGGCUCGACGGUACCAGAGGAAUAAGCCUCGGCUAACUCCGUGCCAGCAGCCGCGGUAGUACGGAGGGGGCAAACGUUGUUCGGAAUUACUGGGCGUAAAGGGUGCGUAGGCGGUUCGAUAAGUCUUGCGUGAAAUCUCUACGGCUUACCCGGGAAACUGCGCUGGAAACUGUCGAGCUCGAGGAUGGGAGAGGCAGAUGGAAUUCCUGGUGUAGCGGUGGAAUGCGUAGAUACCAGGAAGAACACUCAUGGCGAAGGCAGUCUGCUGGCCCACACCUGACGCUGAGGCACGAAAGCCAGGGGAGCAAACGGGAUUAGAUACCCCGGUAGUCCUAGCCGUAAACGAUGGGCACUAAGUAGAGGGGUUUU